Molecule: ribosomal RNA, 460 nt
Filed under: uncultured bacterium
Lineage: Bacteria
Description: partial 16S ribosomal RNA
Rfam family: Bacterial small subunit ribosomal RNA
Source: RNAcentral
CCUACGGGUGGCAGCAGUGAGGAAUAUUGGGCAAUGGGCGGGAGCCUGAACCAGCCAAGUCGCGUGAGGGAAGACGGUCCUACGGAUUGUAAACCUCUUUUGUCGGGGAGCAACGGGGUCCUUGCGAGGGCCCGAUGAGAGUACCCGGAGAAAAAGCAUCGGCAAACUCCGUGCCAGCAGCCGCGGGAGUAGGGAGGAUGCGAGCGUUAUCCGGAUUGAUUGGGUUUAAAGGGGGCGUAGGCGGGCUGUUAAGUCAGCGGUCAAAUGUCGGGGCUCAACCCCGGCCGGCCGUGGAAACUGGCGGCCUCGAGUGGGGGAGAGGUAUGCGGAAUGCGUGGUGUAGCGGUGAAAUGCGUAGAUAUCACGAAGAACUCCGAUUGCGAAGGCAGCAUACCGGCGCGCGACUGACGCUGAGGCACGAAAGCGUGGGUAUCGAACAGGAUUAGAUACCCGAGUAGUC